Molecule: long non-coding RNA, 268 nt
Organism: Acanthochromis polyacanthus (spiny chromis)
Lineage: Eukaryota; Metazoa; Chordata; Actinopteri; Pomacentridae
Exons: 2
Source: RefSeq, a predicted model, not a curated record
AAUAAAUUACAGUUUGACUGCAGCGGUGAGCUUCAACUUGGUGGAUCUAAUGAAACAGAAUGUUUACCAACUGGACAGUGGAGUGCCCCCAUCCCAACUUGCUCUGACACAUGUAAAGUUUCAGGAAUACCAGGCAACAUAGUCGUCACCCCACCUUUAUCAGGCCAUCCUCUUCCAACGGGACACAAGUUAACAUUUCGUUGCCGUCAAAGUAGACAAUUUAUUCAAGGGAAUGCAACAGUUGUAUGUUUGGCAAAUGGACAGUGGA